RNAcentral lists this unclassified non-coding RNA (233 nucleotides) under plant metagenome. Its description in RNAcentral is "partial contains small subunit ribosomal RNA, internal transcribed spacer 1, and 5.8S ribosomal RNA". The record is from RNAcentral.
UUUCCGUGGGUGAACCUGCGGAAGGAUCAUUACUGAGUGAGGGCCCUCUGGGUCCAACCUCCCACCCGUGUUUAUUAUACCUUGUUGCUUCGGUGAGCCCGCCUCACGGCCCCCGGGGGGCAUCUGCCCCCGGGCCCGCGCCCACCGAAGACACCUAGAACUCUGUAUGAAGAUUGCAGUCUGAGCAAAGACUAAAUAAGUUAAAACUUUCAACAACGGAUCUCUUGGUUCCG